Molecule: ribosomal RNA, 301 nt
Filed under: uncultured bacterium
Lineage: Bacteria
Description: partial 16S ribosomal RNA
Rfam family: Bacterial small subunit ribosomal RNA
Source: RNAcentral
CAGUCGCCGCGGUAAAACGAAGGGGGCUAGCGUUGUUCGGAAUUACUGGGCGUAAAGCGCACGUAGGCGGAUCGAUCAGUCAGGGGUGAAAUCCCAGGGCUCAACCCUGGAACUGCCUUUGAUACUGUCGAUCUGGAGUAUGGAAGAGGUGAGUGGAAUUCCGAGUGUAGAGGUGAAAUUCGUAGAUAUUCGGAGGAACACCAGUGGCGAAGGCGGCUCACUGGUCCAUUACUGACGCUGAGGUGCGAAAGCGUGGGGAGCAAACAGGAUUAGAUACCCCCGUAGUCCCUGUCUCUUAUAC